ACGCUUGGCGGCGCGCCUAACACAUGCAAGUCGAACGAGCGAGAGAGAGCUUGCUUUCUCGAGCGAGUGGCGAACGGGUGAGUAACGCGUGAGGAACCUGCCUCAAAGAGGGGGACAACAGUUGGAAACGACUGCUAAUACCGCAUAAGCCCACGACCCGGCAUCGGGUAGAGGGAAAAGGAGCAAUCCGCUUUGAGAUGGCCUCGCGUCCGAUUAGCUAGUUGGUGAGGUAAUGGCCCACCAAGGCGACGAUCGGUAGCCGGACUGAGAGGUUGAACGGCCACAUUGGGACUGAGACACGGCCCAGACUCCUACGGGAGGCAGCAGUGGGGAAUAUUGCACAAUGGGGGAAACCCUGAUGCAGCGACGCCGCGUGGAGGAAGAAGGUCUUCGGAUUGUAAACUCCUGUUGUUGAGGAAGAUAAUGACGGUACUCAACAAGGAAGUGACGGCUAACUACGUG
RNAcentral lists this ribosomal RNA (462 nucleotides) under uncultured bacterium. RNAcentral describes it as "bacterial SSU rRNA". It matches the Rfam family "Bacterial small subunit ribosomal RNA", at positions 36 to 507 of the family's 1533-position model. The record is from RNAcentral.